UACGAAGGGGGCUAGCGUUGCUCGGAAUCACUGGGCGUAAAGGGUGCGUAGGCGGGUCUUUAAGUCAGGGGUGAAAUCCUGGAGCUCAACUCCAGAACUGCCUUUGAUACUGAAGGUCUUGAGUUCGGGAGAGGUGAGUGGAACUGCGAGUGUAGAGGUGAAAUUCGUAGAUAUUCGCAAGAACACCGGUGGCGAAGGCGGCUCACUGGCCCGAUACUGACGCUGAGGCGCGAAAGCGUGGGGAGCAAACAGG
Molecule: ribosomal RNA, 253 nt
Filed under: uncultured bacterium
Lineage: Bacteria
Description: partial 16S ribosomal RNA
Rfam family: Bacterial small subunit ribosomal RNA
Source: RNAcentral